This 310-nucleotide ribosomal RNA is filed under the name Octodrilus gradinescui. RNAcentral describes it as "partial 12S ribosomal RNA". It matches the Rfam family "Bacterial small subunit ribosomal RNA", at positions 966 to 1520 of the family's 1533-position model. Lineage: Eukaryota; Metazoa; Annelida; Clitellata; Crassiclitellata; Lumbricidae. The record is from RNAcentral.
CCUUACCUCAUCUAGAUUAUUCAGCUUGUGUACUGCCGUCGUAAGCAGACCUCUAAAAGUAGAAGUAUGCAAUUAUGUCCAACUCAUCUACGUCAGGUCAAAGUGCAGCUAAUGAUGAGGUGACGAUGGGUUACACCCUAAACAAAGACACGGAAUAUUGUGCUAAUAACUAUAUAAAGGUGGACUUGGACGUAAUACUGAUUCAAUAUUAUCGUGAAAACGAAUCUAAGACAUGCACACAUCGCCCGUCACUCUUGCCCAAAGGCAAGAUAAGUCGUAACAAAGUAGGUGUAACGGAAGUUGCACCUGU